CUCCUACGGGAGGCAGCAGUAGGGAAUCUUCCGCAAUGGACGAAAGUCUGACGGAGCAACGCCGCGUGAGCGAUGAAGAGACGAAGCGAUCUGGAAAGGUCCGCGAAACAAGGUAACAGCCCUGUAAUCGAAACUUCGUUUCCUCCAGAGUGGAUCCUGAGUACGGCGGGACACGUGAAACCCCGUCGGAAUCCGGGAGGACCAUCUCCCAAGGCUAAAUACUUCCUAGUGACCGAUAGUGAACCAGUACCGUGAGGGAAAGGUGAAAAGCACCCCGGGAGGGGAGUGAAAGAGAUCCUGAAACCGUGUGCCUACAAGUAGUCAGAGCCCAUUUACGGGUGAUGGCGUGCCUUUUGUAGAAUGAACCGGCGAGUUACGAUUACGUGCAAGGUUAAGCUGAUGAGGCGGAGCCGCAGCGAAAGCGAGUCUGAAUAGGGCGAAGCACAUGCUUUCGAAGUAGCAAUACUUCGUAUUGCUUGUAAGUACGUGGUCGUAGACCCGAAACCGUGUGAUCUACCCAUGUCCAGGGUGAAGUUCAGGUAACACUGAAUGGAGGCCCGAACCCACGCACGUUGAAAAGUGCGGGGAUGAGGUGUGGGUAGGGGUGAAAUGCCAAUCGAACUCGGAGAUAGCUGGUUCUCCCCGAAAUAGCUUUAGGGCUAGCCUCGAGGAAAGAGUAUUGGAGGUAGAGCACUGAUUGGACUAGGGGUCCCCACAGGAUUACCGAAUUCAGUCAAACUCCGAAUGCCAAAUACUUAUCCUCGGGAGUCAGACUGCGAGUGCUAAGAUCCGUAGUCAAGAGGGAAACAGCCCAGACCAUCAGCUAAGGUCCCCAAGUAUACGUUAAGUGGAGAAGGAUGUGGAGUUGCCCAGACAACCAGGAUGUUGGCUUAGAAGCAGCCACCAUUUAAAGAGUGCGUAAUAGCUCACUGGUCGAGUGACUCUGCGCCGAAAAUGUACCGGGGCUAAACGUAUCACCGAAGCUAUGGAUUGACACCUUAGGUGUCAGUGGUAGGGGAGCGUUCUAAGUGCUGUGAAGUCAGACCGGAAGGACUGGUGGAGCGCUUAGAAGUGAGAAUGCCGGUAUGAGUAGCGAAAAGAGGGGUGAGAAUCCCCUCCGUCGAAAGCCCAAGGUUUCCUGAGGAAGGCUCGUCCGCUCAGGGUAAGUCGGGACCUAAGCCGAGGCUGAAAAGCGUAGGCGAUGGACAACAGGUUGAAAUUCCUGUACCACCUCCUCACCGUUUGAGCAAUGGGGGGACGCAGAAAGGUAGGGUAAGCGCACUGAUGGAUAUGUGCGUCCAAGCAGUUAGGCUGAGAAGUAGGCAAAUCCGCUUCUCGCGAAGGCUGAGCUGUGAUGGCGAGCGAAAUUUAAGUAGCGAAGUUCCUGAUCCUACACUGCCAAGAAAAGCCUCUAGCGAGGUGAGAGGUGCCCGUACCGCAAACCGACACAGGUAGGCGAGAAGAGAAUUCUAAGACGCUCGGGAGAACUCUCGUUAAGGAACUCGGCAAAAUGACCCCGUAACUUCGGGAGAAGGGGUGCUCUGAUAGGGUGUUAAAGCCCGAGAGAGCCGCAGUGAAUAGAUCCAAGCGACUGUUUAGCAAAAACACAGGUCUCUGCGAAGCCGCAAGGCGAAGUAUAGGGGCUGACACCUGCCCGGUGCUGGAAGGUUAAGAGGAGGGGUUAUCCNUNNGGAGAAGCUCUGAAUUGAAGCCCCAGUAAACGGCGGCCGUAACUAUAACGGUCCUAAGGUAGCGAAAUUCCUUGUCGGGUAAGUUCCGACCCGCACGAAUGGUGUAACGAUUUGGAUACUGUCUCAACGAGAGACCCGGUGAAAUUAUAUUACCUGUGAAGAUGCAGGUUACCCGCGACAGGACGGAAAGACCCCAUGGAGCUUUACUGUAGCUUGAUAUUGGAUUUUGGUACAGUUUGUACAGGAUAGGCUUAGUGAUCCGGUGGUUCCGCAUGGAAGGGCCAUCGCUCAACGGAUAAAAGCUACCCUGGGGAUAACAGGCUUAUCUCCCCCAAGAGUCCACAUCGACGGGGAGGUUUGGCACCUCGAUGUCGGCUCAUCGCAUCCUGGGGCUGAAGUAGGUCCCAAGGGUUGGGCUGUUCGCCCAUUAAAGCGGUACGCGAGCUGGGUUCAGAACGUCGUGAGACAGUUCGGUCCCUAUCCGUCGCGGGCGUAGGAAAUUUGAGAGGAGCUGUCCUUAGUACGAGAGGACCGGGAUGGACAUACCGCUGGUGUACCAGUUGUUCCGCCAGGAGCAUAGCUGGGUAGCUACGUAUGGAAGGGAUAAGUGCUGAAAGCAUCUAAGCAUGAAGCCCCCCUCAAGAUGAGAUUUCCCUUGG
RNAcentral lists this ribosomal RNA (2350 nucleotides) under Anaerobacillus alkalidiazotrophicus. Its description in RNAcentral is "bacterial LSU rRNA". It matches the Rfam family "Bacterial large subunit ribosomal RNA", at positions 276 to 2819 of the family's 2925-position model. Lineage: Bacteria; Bacillati; Bacillota; Bacilli; Caryophanales; Bacillaceae. The record is from RNAcentral.